GAACGCACCUUGCGCCCUUUGGCUAUUCCGAAGGGCAUGCCUGUUUGAGUAUCAUGAACAUCUCAACUCCUCACGGUUCACCCGUGAGGAGCUUGGACUUUGGGGGUCUUGCUGGCCUGUGGGUCGGCUCCUCUCAAACGAAUCAGCUUGCCGGUGUUUGGUGGCGUCCCAGGUGUGAUAACUAUCUACGCUUGUGGUUUUCCGCCAGGUAACCUCCAGCAAUGGGGGUUCACUGGAGCUCACAAACGUCUCUCCUCGGUGAGGACAGCUCUUUGAACAUUUGAUCUCAAAUCAGGUAGGACUACCCGCUGAACUUAAG
Molecule: unclassified non-coding RNA, 319 nt
Filed under: uncultured Tomentella
Lineage: Eukaryota; Fungi; Basidiomycota; Agaricomycetes; Thelephorales; Thelephoraceae
Description: sequence contains 5.8S rRNA gene
Source: RNAcentral